UAGUGGAGCUGGUGUCAGAAGGAAUGUUC
Molecule: non-coding RNA, 29 nt
Filed under: Mus musculus (house mouse)
Lineage: Eukaryota; Metazoa; Chordata; Mammalia; Rodentia; Muridae
Source: RNAcentral